Marmota monax (woodchuck) is the source of this 3403-nucleotide long non-coding RNA. RefSeq lists it as uncharacterized. The record is from RefSeq and is a predicted model, not a curated record. Lineage: Eukaryota; Metazoa; Chordata; Mammalia; Rodentia; Sciuridae. The transcript is spliced from 5 exons.
CAGCUGAGGAGCAACAGCUGGGAGGACACAAUUGUGGUGGUACAUUGGAGCCCAGAGAACACAGCAACAGGUGGGAGAGAAAGAAAAAGAGUUGGAUGUGGAAUAAUGUAAGGUUAGAGAAGAGAUGUGAAUGACCUUGGGAAAUCGGAAAGAAAGAUUAAAGCCCAAGAGGAAUGAGGCACAGAAUGCUUUAAUUCGAAGACCUUGUGAACUCUAAGUUUUCAGAAAGAAGGUCAACAUGAAUCCCAACCACUACUUCAAGGAAGUCCAUAGCAUUCUUGCUCACUCAGAGAGGAUUCCUAAAGCAUCUUUAAAUGAGCGGGUCAGUGGUGCCUCCUUUUUGGUAUGUGAGAGAACCCCAACACCGAUGCAGGAAACAAAUAUUUGCUUUCUAUACAUGGGGACCCAGGACGCCAUGCAUGAAUAGAGGUCUCCAAACAGGUACACAUUUGGCAUACAGGAUAAAGUGAUCCAAACCUGGUAACACAGGAGGACUAUUUAGGUAGGCUAAGUCCAGAUUAGAGCGGUAUUUGGAACGCAAGUCUAAUAUGGAGUCUCCUCAGCUCCUUUUUCGGUGAUUAUUCCAUGCAGAGUGCAUAAUAAUGAAAGAGCCUUAGACAUUGCAAAGGAAAAGACGAACCAAGAGCCAGAUUCGGAGCCCUUAAAAUGAUCCACUGGCCACUCACACAUAGCAUCGAGCAAAUACAUGAUCUGCUUUCAAAAGGUAACUAGUACAAAUAGAACUCGCUCACAGCAGUGCUUUUCCUUUCUCUAGCUUGCUCUCUCCCAAUCUCUUAGUCUCAAUUUCCUUCCCCUCUCUCUCUCUCUCUUUAGAUUCUUUUUUUCUCCUCUUCUAAGAUAAGAAAGCUACUUGAUUCAGGGCAUGAUUAUUGUCUCAGCCAGCUCUAGAAACUAGAAAAGCACACAUUAAACAAAGAACACAACAACAUACCUUAAAAGCAGCUCUUCAUUUCUCAUAGUAACAGCGGAUUUGGGACAGCGCAUGCUUUCUACACAGAUAGUCUCAACAAAAGCCAGUUCAGAAGUACGCUCAAACAUCAAUGCCACAGUCGCUGUUCACUAAUGCGCCCUCUCUCUCUCCCCCCCCCCUCUCUUUCUCUCUCCACUCUCUUCCCUAGUCAAAUGCUGGAUAGUAGAGCAAAGGGGCUCCUGCAGAUUCACUAAGUAGAAAUAAUCCUCUCUGACAAGUUAUGUUGUCUCGGCAUAUUUUUACACUAAUACACUGUGCUGCCUAUAGGGGUCUUGUUUGCAUUCACUCAAGCCUGGCUGGUGUUAGUUCUCCUAAUUACCAUCUUAAAAAACUGGACAGAAAAUUAAGCAACUUGGUUACCUUUUUCUUAUACAUUUAAUAGCAAAGCCAAUUUCCCAAUUUUCCUUUGCUGUCAACUGUCAGCGGGCAUUGCAGAUGACUAACGAAAGAUUGGGAUAGGUCAGUGUGCUCAAAAGCAUUUUUGUCUCUUUUUUUUCUGGGACACUGCAUUCACAGUUGGAUUCAUCUGUUCCUCUCCUCUUGUCCUCAGGAAGAGUGACAAGGUCAAGACCCUUAGCCCCACCCUGGACCAGGGAUGUAGAGGACAGAGAUCGGGGGACUUGGAAAUGUUUUAACUCUCUGCACACCAGGGUUCUCAUAAAUCACAGCAUAAUUCACCUGAAGCAGAGGAUCUAAAGCAGAGAGUCACUUGCAAAGAUUGUUGGCCCCAUUGAAAUCCUAAUUGACAGAGGAGUAUCAUCCUCAAAAGGCCAUUGAGUUGCUCUUUUCCAAAAUAAGAAAAAUCUGCUUCCUUACUUCAAUAUACUCCCUAGGCUUUGCAUGUAGAGGAAACCAGAAAAACACACUGUACUUCUGUUUUUUGGAAUUAGAAGCAUUCGAGGCAUAUUAACCAAGUAAAAUAGCUAGUUAAACAUACACACAAGGAAAAAACUAGAUACUGUGGACCAAAUAAUCGGUUGUCCAAAAGUGCAAGUUAAGGAGCCGCUUCAGGAGAAGUGUUCUGACCGGAAGUCAAGAAUGUUCUUUGCUUGGAUGGAACAUCCUAGAACAGCCCAAAACAGACCUGGGUCACUGAACACUGGCCUCCCUCCCAUCCUGCAUCAGCACAAUGGUGCAUGUCAGUCAUGAUCUGGAUUCUCAGCAUUAGCAGAAAAAAUAAGAGUCGGGAGAAAAUUGGCAGACUGUGUUCCCACCUAUUUCAGAGUCUGGAACACACAACAAAAUCUUGCUAGAUCUUUGACCUCUGAACUUGGUCUUGGUCCACAGCCAGGAAGAUGGAGAUUAUCCUGGGAUGCACGUGUGAAGGAUCUUUAAUUUCUGUUGCACACUAAUCCUGUGUAGCACAUCAACGGGACUAAGGGAUAACAGCAAAGUAGAAUCAUUCGCCAUCCCUAUGUCCAGAUGGCAAUAAGAAGACAUGGUAAAUCACUUGACAAAGGUCAGAUCAUGAAACAAAAUCAUGUCCCUAAAACAAUCUCAUUUUUUAACUUAUCCUUGCUGCAUUAGAACAUAUGAAAGUUACGGAGUGAAUAUAUAUGAAAAUGAGUGACCUUGUCAGAGAAUGAUAGCAUAAAAAAUCUAAGAUGUUCCUUUGAAGUGGGAAAAGCAUUGUGUAAUGAGCUUGGAACCAGAGAGGCCUUAGGGAGAUAGAGUGUGACCCUCUUCCCCUCCAGACUUGUGUUGAGUGCGGGGCAGAAGGCUCUUGACCUCUCUGGGGCUCUCUUUGCCCUGAGGUUAAAUGGAGGCAGUGAAUGCAAAUUUGUUUUAAGGCACGUGAAGAGCUUGUAAUGAAACUGGGUGUGUGUGGUCAGUGCAAACAUUCACAAAAAAUUGAAUGAUUGCACUGACAUCUGGCAUGGGUUUUGUCUAUUUGAGAAGGAUAAAAAUACACUGCUUAGCCCACAGGCCUAUUCUGCAUAUAUCCAUAUAAUUUCUAGUGGUGUUAAACUAUGAGGCAAGCAUUAACAUAUGACAAUAAUGCAUUCACUUAUCUAUAAGUAGAUUCUUCACAUUGGAAGCCAGUAAAUGAAUUAUGAAUCCGUAUUAGUAAUGACUGGAAUUGAACCAAACCAUUAAAUAUUUUAUACUCUCUCCACUUCCUUUUUAGUCUAGAGACCUGAGUAAUGAGAAAGCUAUUGAGGUAAGAGUUUAGUACUUGUUCCAACUCCCCUAAUAUGACAGAUUGAGGGCCUUACAUCCACCAGUUGCUUGUGCUAAAUUGGGAUUAUAAAGAUGAGUGAGUGGAAGGAAGGAUGUUAUUUAUAAUAUUCACAUAUUGUAUAUUAAGUCUUUGACCCCAAAUGCACGUUGAAUAAAUCUUUGCACUUUGUACUGCUACCAAUGGACUAUCUUUCUGGCUGGUACUUAAUAAACACUUGGAUAAAUAUAAAA